UCUAACGUGUGCGCGAGUCAAUGGGUCCCUCAGAACCCAGAGGCGCAAUGAAACGUGAAGGCGCGGCCUUCGUGACGGCUGUUGCGAUCCCGGGACUCCGCCCAGGGUCCGAUGAAGGGAGCAGCAACGGCCCGCCCACACUAGCUCACGUCGUGGUGACGACGUGAGCUAGCUAGACGCACACGUUGGA
This 190-nucleotide ribosomal RNA is filed under the name Ixodes scapularis (black-legged tick). RNAcentral's name for it is "partial 28S ribosomal RNA". Lineage: Eukaryota; Metazoa; Arthropoda; Arachnida; Ixodida; Ixodidae. The record is from RNAcentral.